CCUACGGGAGGCAGCAGUGAGGAAUAUUGGUCAAUGGACGAGAGUCUGAACCAGCCAAGUAGCGUGAAGGAUGACUGCCCUAUGGGUUGUAAACUUCUUUUAUAUGGGAAUAAAAUGUUCCACGUGUGGGAUUUUGUAUGUACCAUAUGAAUAAGGAUCGGCUAACUCCGUGCCAGCAGCCGCGGUAAUACGGAGGAUCCGAGCGUUAUCCGGAUUUAUUGGGUUUAAAGGGAGCGUAGGUGGAUUGUUAAGUCAGUUGUGAAAGUGUGCGGCUCAACCGUAAAAUUGCAGUUGAAACUGGCAGUCUUGAGUACAGUAGAGGUUGGCGGAAUUCGUGGUGUAGCGGUGAAAUGCUUAGAUAUCACGAAGAACUCCGAUUGCGAAGGCAGUUCACUGGACUGCAACUGACACUGAGGCUCGAAAGUGUGGGUAUCAAACAGGAUUAGAUACCCCAGUAGUC
Molecule: ribosomal RNA, 460 nt
Filed under: uncultured bacterium
Lineage: Bacteria
Description: partial 16S ribosomal RNA
Rfam family: Bacterial small subunit ribosomal RNA
Source: RNAcentral